CACGCCGUAAACGUUGAGAACUAAGUGUUGGGGAGACCCAGUGCUGAAGCUAACGCAUUAAGUUCUCCGCCUGAGGAGUACGCACGCAAGUGUAAAACUUAAAGGAAUUGACGGGGGCCCGCACAAGCAGUGGAGCACGUGGUUUAAUUCGAGGCUACGCGAAGAACCUUACCAGGGCUUGACAGGAAACUUAAGACCCUAGAGAUAGGGGGAUAAUAAGUGAAACAGGUGG
Molecule: ribosomal RNA, 232 nt
Filed under: uncultured bacterium
Lineage: Bacteria
Description: partial 16S ribosomal RNA
Rfam family: Bacterial small subunit ribosomal RNA
Source: RNAcentral